This 442-nucleotide ribosomal RNA is filed under the name uncultured bacterium. Its description in RNAcentral is "partial 16S ribosomal RNA". It matches the Rfam family "Bacterial small subunit ribosomal RNA", at positions 338 to 795 of the family's 1533-position model. The record is from RNAcentral.
CCUACGGGGUGCAGCAGUAGGGAAUCUUUCCCAAUGGGGGAAAGCCUGAUGGAGCAACGCCGCGUGCAGGAUGAAGGCCUUCGGGUUGUAAACUGCUUUUAUAAGCGAGAAAUAUGAUGGUAACUUAUGAAUAAGGAUCGGCUAACUACGUGCCAGCAGCCGCGGUCAUACGUAGGAUCCGAGCGUUAUCCGGAGUGACUGGGUGUAAAGAGUUGCGUAGGUGGCAUAAUAAGUAGCUAGUGAAAUCCGGUGGCUCAACCAUUCAGACUAUUAGCUAAACUGUUAAGCUAGAGACCGUUAGGGGUAACUGGAAUUUCUAGUGUAGGAGUGAAAUCCGUAGAUAUUAGAAGGAACACCAAUAGCGUAGGCAGGUUGCUGGGACGGUUCUGACACUAAUGCACGAAAGCGUAGGGAGCAAACGGGAUUAGAUACCCCUGUAGUC